Molecule: ribosomal RNA, 192 nt
Filed under: uncultured Pseudomonas sp.
Lineage: Bacteria; Pseudomonadati; Pseudomonadota; Gammaproteobacteria; Pseudomonadales; Pseudomonadaceae
Description: partial 16S ribosomal RNA
Rfam family: Bacterial small subunit ribosomal RNA
Source: RNAcentral
CCUACGGGAGGCAGCAGUGGGGAAUAUUGGACAAUGGGCGAAAGCCUGAUCCAGCCAUGCCGCGUGUGUGAAGAAGGUCUUCGGAUUGUAAAGCACUUUAAGUUGGGAGGAAGGACAUUAACCUAAUACGUUGGUGUUUUGACGUUACCGACAGAAUAAGCACCGGCUAACUCUGUGCCAGCAGCCGCGGUA